This 493-nucleotide ribosomal RNA is filed under the name uncultured bacterium. RNAcentral's name for it is "partial 16S ribosomal RNA". It matches the Rfam family "Bacterial small subunit ribosomal RNA", at positions 29 to 523 of the family's 1533-position model. The record is from RNAcentral.
AUUGAACGCUGGCGGCAUGCUUUACACAUGCAAGUCGAACGGUAGCAGGUUAAGCUGACGAGUGGCGAACGGGUGAGUAAUGCAUCGGAACGUGCCCGGUCGUGGGGGAUAACACUUCGAAAGAAGUGCUAAUACCGCAUACGAUCUAAGGAUGAAAGCGGGGGACCGUAAGGCCUCGCGCGAUUGGAGCGGCCGAUGUCAGAUUAGGUAGUUGGUGGGGUAAAGGGUGACCAAGACGACGAACUGUAGCUGGUCUGGGAGGACGACCAGCCACACUGGGACUGAGACGCGGCCCAGACUCCUACGGGAGGAAGCAGUGGGGAAUUUUGGACAAUGGGCGCAAGCCUGAUCCAGCAAUGCCGCGUGCAGGAAGAAGGCCUUCGGGUUGUAAACUGCUUUUGUACGGAGCGAAAAGGCUCUCUCUAAUACAGGGGGCUGAUGACGGUACCGUAAGAAUAAGCACCGGCUAACUACGUGCCAGCCGCCGCAGUAA